GGAACCAUUCUUUCCUACGAGAAUCUUGCGUUGGCUUAUCUUGUGUGUGAUCAAAUGGUGUUCAAUUCUCAGGGAACCAUCACGUAACUCCUUCCAGUCCAUCAGGCGAUGGUCAAUGCCAUAUGGGAUUUCCUGAUGUAUGUAAUGUAGCAACUUUUCCCUGACUACCUCCAUUGAAAUAUUCUUCAUAACUUCUUCACUCAUGACAAAUGGAUCUUCAUCCCACGGUCUUUUCACUGACUGCUCCAUCAAGUAUUUAGUUAGAUCUUUCACUCCAGCGCCCUUU
RNAcentral lists this unclassified non-coding RNA (286 nucleotides) under Hevea brasiliensis (rubber tree). Lineage: Eukaryota; Viridiplantae; Streptophyta; Magnoliopsida; Malpighiales; Euphorbiaceae. The record is from RNAcentral.